CCACCUCACAAUGAUACAGCCCUACAUUUCUUACCAACUGACAUUUUUUGAAGGCUGGAUUUUUGUACCUCGUUCACCAUGGUAAGCCAAGGCAGAGACUUUUGGAGCAGGAAGGGGCCACAGAGAGAGUAACCUCCCAUUUAAUGAACAAAAAAAGUUUGCACAAGAGUUAAAAUGGUUGACGUAAAGUCCCACACAGUGAAUCCAAUGUGUUUUUGCCGAUUCUUCAACUGUAUACCAGAUACAAUUUAAACUAUGUCUUUAAAAAUUCUUUUGUUAUUAUUUUUGGUAUUUUUUCUAUCAUAAACUUGCUUCCUUAUUUCCACUGUGAGUAUGAAGUUGGGGAGUUAACAUUUAUAAAACAUUAUUAUUGUGUACUAAGGCAAGCUUUACUCUAAAGAGCAGAUGCUUACUUCAUACACAUGGAAAAAAUAUUUAAAAAUCUGCUUAUGUCAAGGGUUGGUGAGGAUUGGGGAAACAGGAACACAGAAACACUACUGAUUGCAGUGUAAUUUAUUGAAUUCGUUUCAAAGGCAAUUGACAUCAUAAAGCUGAAGAGACACAUUCCCCAUAAAGUUCAUUUCUAAAUAAAAAUCCUGGAGUUAUUUUUACAAUUGUGCAUAAGAG
Molecule: long non-coding RNA, 627 nt
Filed under: Homo sapiens (human)
Lineage: Eukaryota; Metazoa; Chordata; Mammalia; Primates; Hominidae
Description: HSALNT0069987
Source: RNAcentral